GGAGGGUACAGCUCAAGUGGUAGAGCGCAUGCUUAGCAUACAUGAGGCCCUGGGUUCAAUCCCCAGCACCUCCA
Molecule: non-coding RNA, 74 nt
Organism: Camelus ferus (Wild Bactrian camel)
Lineage: Eukaryota; Metazoa; Chordata; Mammalia; Artiodactyla; Camelidae
Source: Rfam